AUGAGAAGCACACAAUCAAGUGAGAGCUUGAAUAGUGACUUGAAAGACCAUUUGAAGUCUGAUCUUGACAUUCUUUGUUUUUUCAAGCACGUAGAGAGGGUUGUGAAAGGAAAGAGAGAUAAAGAGCGAUGGACUCGAGAAGCACGAAGCGGGACUAUUCAAAACAGCCAUGGCAACAUUGUUUUGGAAGACCCUAGAUCGGAAGAUAGGCAGCAGCUUAAGUUUUUCAUGCAUGAGUUCCUUGGCAUAGCUUCCCAAGCAGUUGCAUCACAAGAGUGCAUAAAAUUAGUAGAUGAUGCUUUGAAGAAUCUAAAGAAGCAAGUUGAAGACAAAGCUCCUACUACUACAUGCAGAACUGAAGCUAUAUCUCAGGAACCAGACAUUUGUUUGCAAACAGCUUGUCUGAAUAAAAAGGAAAUUCAGCAGAAGACUUCAAAAACGAAGAAAUCAUGGCUUGAUAAUCAACAUCCCAGUAAAAAGAAAAAAGGGACAGCU
RNAcentral lists this ribosomal RNA (495 nucleotides) under Triticum aestivum (bread wheat). RNAcentral describes it as "partial small subunit ribosomal RNA". The record is from RNAcentral. Lineage: Eukaryota; Viridiplantae; Streptophyta; Magnoliopsida; Poales; Poaceae.